AUGGACGCAACAGAAGGUAGCCCUGGCGCUGGCCUGCCACGCCCAUCCGAGUUUGAUUUCAUGUUCACCGACGAGGGGUGGGCCUUGCUGUCCGAGGAGAGACGCCGUUCAAUUAUAGGAGUUCUGGAUCAGGACAGAGAGGAGAAGACUCGCCUCCCACAGCGCCGUCAGGCCCGGAUGGACUGCCGCAAGGCCCUGCCGGAUCAUACUCGGCCGGACAAACAGAUACACCCUAGUAAGAGCCUCGACACUAACCUGUCCAGGGAUAUUCGGGAUUCAGAUGACCUUUUGUGGAUCCGACAGCAUCGCGUGCUCAACCAUUCAGACUUUGCGCUGCCGCCAAUGCGCUAUACUUCCUGCCAACUCCUCGGGACGGAUGCUCUCAUUAUCCUCACCCAAUGCUGCAAUUCCUUGAAUGGUGGUUAUCUAAGUCUAAGCUACCCUGCACGGGGCAUAUCUGCAAUGGGCUGCCUGAUUGAAAUUGAUAUAAGGAUCAAGGGCAAGGAUGUUGACAAAGAUUUGUCAAUUAUUGAUGGAUCUGUGAAAGCCUUUGGGCAGUUUGACUCGAGGACUGCUAACCAUGUUGAUAACAUCAAUGGUAAAAUUAUAUUGAAGACACAUGUUGUUCGUAAAGGUGUUGAGGCAACUAUAGACCUCGAUUUUGUCGAGGUGCCAACAGGCGGCUUCAAUGUGCGGAUGCGUGACUUCAUGGAGAAGAAGCGAGAAGCGCUCUCUUUUGUAUCAUCCAAGCACGGCAACGAGCAGCUAACUUACCGAUUCAGCAAUGGAGCUUUGGUCCUUGUUAAAGUCUUUUGGUCAACCAUCGUCGACGGUUGGCCAUUGGGUCUGUAA
RNAcentral lists this ribosomal RNA (852 nucleotides) under Triticum aestivum (bread wheat). RNAcentral describes it as "partial small subunit ribosomal RNA". Lineage: Eukaryota; Viridiplantae; Streptophyta; Magnoliopsida; Poales; Poaceae. The record is from RNAcentral.